AUUGAACGCUGGCGGCAGGCCUAACACAUGCAAGUCGAACGGUAACAGGAAACAGCUUGCUGUUUCGCUGACGAGUGGCGGACGGGUGAGUAAUGUCUGGGGAACUGCCUGAUGGAGGGGGAUAACUACUGGAAACGGUAGCUAAUACCGCAUAACGUCGCAAGACCAAAGAGGGGGACCUUCGGGCCUCUUGCCAUCGGAUGUGCCCAGAUGGGAUUAGCUAGUAGGUGGGGUAACGGCUCACCUAGGCGACGAUCCCUAGCUGGUCUGAGAGGAUGACCAGCCACACUGGAACUGAGACACGGUCCAGACUCCUACGGGAGGCAGCAGUGGGGAAUAUUGCACAAUGGGCGCAAGCCUGAUGCAGCCAUGCCGCGUGUAUGAAGAAGGCCUUCGGGUUGUAAAGUACUUUCAGCGGGGAGGAAGGGAGUAAAGUUAAUACCUUUACUCAUUGACGUUACCCGCAGAAGAAGCACCGGCUAACUCCGUG
RNAcentral lists this ribosomal RNA (490 nucleotides) under uncultured bacterium. Its description in RNAcentral is "partial 16S ribosomal RNA". It matches the Rfam family "Bacterial small subunit ribosomal RNA", at positions 30 to 507 of the family's 1533-position model. The record is from RNAcentral.